This 483-nucleotide ribosomal RNA is filed under the name uncultured bacterium. RNAcentral's name for it is "partial 16S ribosomal RNA". It matches the Rfam family "Bacterial small subunit ribosomal RNA", at positions 30 to 506 of the family's 1533-position model. The record is from RNAcentral.
AUUGAACGCUGGCGGCAGGCCUAACACAUGCAAGUCGAGCGGAUGAAGGGAGCUUGCUCCUGGAUUCAGCGGCGGACGGGUGAGUAAUGCCUAGGAAUCUGCCUGGUAGUGUGGGAUAACGUCCGGAAACGGGCGCUAAUACCGCAUACGUCCUGAGGGAGAAAGUGGGGGAUCUUCGGACCUCACGCUAUCAGAUGAGCCUAGGUCGGAUUAGCUAGUUGGUGGGGUAAAGGCCUACCAAGGCGACGAUCCGUAACUGGUCUGAGAGGAUGAUCAGUCACACUGGAACUGAGACACGGUCCAGACUCCUACGGGAGGCAGCAGUGGGGAAUAUUGGACAAUGGGCGAAAGCCUGAUCCAGCCAUGCCGCGUGUGUGAAGAAGGUCUUCGGAUUGUAAAGCACUUUAAGUUGGGAGGAAGGGCAGUAAGUUAAUACCUUGCUGUUUUGACGUUACCAACAGAAUAAGCACCGGCUAACUUCGU